CUGACCGAGCAACGCCGCGUGAGUGAAGAAGGUUUUCGGAUCGUAAAGCUCUGUUGUAAGUCAAGAACGUGUGUGAGAGUGGAAAGUUCACACAGUGACGGUAGCUUACCAGAAAGGGACGGCUAACUACGUGCCAGCAGCCGCGGUAAUACGUAGGUCCCGAGCGUUGUCCGGACUUAUUGGGCGUAAAGGGAGCGCAGGCGGUCAGGAAAGUCUGGAGUAAAAGGCUAUGGCUCAACCAUAGUGUGCUCUGGAAACUGUCUGACUUGAGUGCAGAAGGGGAGAGUGGAAUUCCAUGUGUAGCGGUGAAAUGCGUAGAUAUAUGGAGGAACACCAGUGGCGAAAGCGGCUCUCUGGUCUGUCACUGACGCUGAGGCUCGAAAGCGUGGGUAGCGAACAGGAUUAGAUACCCUGGUAGUCCACGCCGUAAACGAUGAGUGCUAGGUGUUAGGCCCUUUCCGGGGCCUAGUGCCGGAGCUAACGCAAUAAGCACUCCGCCUGGGGAGUACGACCGCAAGGUUGAAACUCAAAGGAAUUGACGGGGGCCCGCACAAGCGGUGGAGCAUGUGGUUUAAUUCGAAGCAACGCGAAGAACCUUACCAGGUCUUGACAUCCCGAUGCUAUUCUUAGAGAUAGGAAGUUACUUCGGUACAUCGGAGACAGGUGGUGCAUGG
Molecule: ribosomal RNA, 674 nt
Filed under: Streptococcus mutans
Lineage: Bacteria; Bacillati; Bacillota; Bacilli; Lactobacillales; Streptococcaceae
Description: bacterial SSU rRNA
Rfam family: Bacterial small subunit ribosomal RNA
Source: RNAcentral